This 465-nucleotide ribosomal RNA is filed under the name uncultured bacterium. RNAcentral's name for it is "partial 16S ribosomal RNA". It matches the Rfam family "Bacterial small subunit ribosomal RNA", at positions 339 to 795 of the family's 1533-position model. The record is from RNAcentral.
CUACGGGACGCUCCAGUGGGGAAUAUUGCGCAAUGGGCGAAAGCCUGACGCAGCUACGCCGUGUGAGGGAUGAAGGCUUUCGGGUCGUAAACCUCUGUCGGAAGGGAAGAACGGGCAUUGGUCUAAUAGGCCUUUGUUUUGACGGUACCUUUAGAGGAAGCACCGGCUAACUCCGUGCCAGCAGCCGCGGUAAUACGGAGGGUGCAAGCGGUAUUCGGAAUUACUGGGCGUAAAGCGCACGUAGGCCGUUUUGUAAGUCAGGGGUGAAAUCCCACGGCUCAACCGUGGAACUGCCUUUGAAACUGCAGGACUUGAAUCCUGGAGAGGGUGGCGGAAUUCCUGGUGUAGGAGUGAAAUCCGUAGAUAUCAGGAGGAACACCGGUGGCGAAGGCGGCCACCUGGACAGGUAUUGACGCUGAGGUGCGAAAGUGUGGGGAGCAAACAGGAUUAGAUACCCCCGUAGUC